AGAAUCAACGCUGGCGGCGUGCCUAACACAUGCAAGUCGAACGAGAAAGUGGAGCAAUCCAUGAGUAAAGUGGCGACCGGGUGAGUAACACGUGACUAACCUACCUUCGAGUGGGGGAUAACAUCGGGAAACCGAUGCUAAAUACCGCAUAACAUCGCAAGAUCAAAGCAGCAAUGCGCUGGAAGAGGGGGUCGCGGCUGAUUAGCUAGUUGGCGGGUAACGGCCCACAAGGCGAAGAUCGGUA
This 244-nucleotide ribosomal RNA is filed under the name uncultured bacterium. RNAcentral describes it as "partial small subunit ribosomal RNA". It matches the Rfam family "Bacterial small subunit ribosomal RNA", at positions 26 to 285 of the family's 1533-position model. The record is from RNAcentral.